UAUAAAUAUUUGAUACAAGAUAUCCAACACAUACAUCUAGAUCAGUACUAGCAAGGUAAUGGUCAUGUUGAGGAUAUUUUGUGUUUGUACAUGAAAAUCUAUGUUGACGUGUAUCAAGGAUCUAGGUCGAAACUGGUGCUUCCUCUUGAAUUCUACGUUGGACUAAUUUCAGUUUACCCUCCCCCCCUUCUAAGGUUUGAGUCUAACAUCAUGUUAAUCCCUGUGGUUUCAAGUUAAUCAGUAACACCCCUAAACGUUUUGAUUCCAAUAGCCGUGUCCAAUUUCACUCGUUUUGUCCAAUUUAGACGUUAACUCCUACAAUAGAGCCCAAUUUAAAGGCAAAAAUGGUCAAGAUUAAAAAAAAGAAAAAAGAAGGGGGGGUGAAAUUUGCACACCCCCUUUUGCAUUCUACACACCCUUUGCUUUUGUUUAAUAUUUCUUAUCAUUUCACUCCAAAACUACCCUUCUCUCUCUCUCUCUCUCCUCUCUCUCCAUCCGCAGAACCCCAAUUUUUUUCGAUGACACCACAGAACCCCAUUUGUGCAAGAGAAGGGCGCAAUCUAUGGCCUGGAUAGUCUCCUCCUCGGCGCUCUCCCUCUCCUUCUUCAACACGUCUGUUGGAAUACGCCUGGUGAAACCCGCCGGGGAUGAGACUGGGGCGGUGGCGGGCGCCCUCGUCGUCACCGAAGACUCCCAUGCAGAGGUGGAGGAGGCCUCGUCGAUGCAGCGCUCGGUGCUCUAGUACCACUCAUUGUCGCCGUCGAUGAUGGCGUGGCCGGGCUCCAUGUAGGCGGAAAGGGCGGCGAUGGUCUGGUCGACGGGGGCGCCUGCCUUGACGAGAAUCGUCAUCUAGGGCGCUGGAGGGAGAGGACGAAGUCUUUGGGGUUGUACUGACCAGAGAGAGGGAGGUUGCCUUUGGGGUUCUGUGGAUGGAGAGAGAGAGAGAGAGAGAGAAGGGUAGUUUUAGAGUGAAAUGAUAAGAAAUAUUAAAAAAAAGCAAACGGUGUGUAGAAUGUAAGAGGGGGUGUGCAAAUUUCACCCCCAAAAAAAAAAACUCCAUACAAGCUUCGUAGUUUGAGAAGCUUUCCUUCAAAAGAGGCGAGUUAAUUCGGUUGACGACCCAACAUAUCCUUGCCUCUUCUUCAUCUUGACUCAGCAGCAUGUUCUGAAAUUCUGAUGCUUUACGAAUAUGAAAUUGGAUCCCCUUUGCGGAUUGGUGAGUUCAGUCAGAGUUAGUUCGACGAUUGUGGGGGUGGCGAUGGAGUCAUGGUGCGGCGGUGGUUGAGGAGUCUUAGACCGAGGUUGGGUCUGCGUCAGUGCUCAAAGUGAGGGUCGAAUUUUGGUGAUGCUGACGGCGAUAACAGAGAAGUGGUGGUGGUUUACCAGAAACCAUUCAUCGAAAAUUGAGAGAGUUUGAAGAAGCGACUAUGAAAUUGACUGGGUUCUUUGGAGAUGGCCACCCAAAUUGAUUUGAGUUUUUGGAAUAUGGUGGAUGGAAGUGUGGGUGCUCGAGGUGGGAACUUUGCUGCAUUAUACAAUCCGCUUUUCAGUUCUGUCCCUACUCUAGCACCUCUUGCUAUUUGCUCUCUCCAAAGCGAGAGAAGUAUGAGAGCUGUAGUGGGUUUAUGGGUUUCGUUGCGACUGGGAUGGCAGGUGUAGUGGGGAUGACAUUGAACGUUUAAUCCGGAAAUUAAGAGGUAGAGAGCUAUACAAAACUUGGAUUUUGACUUUUGAGUUUUAUUUUGGUAGUACUCUGAAGAAAAAAAGAAGAAGAAAGACGCAUCUUUUUGGAUGGAGCACAAUGUACAGGUUUUUAUACGUGUGCAUCCUCGUGCAUCCUCUCAAUAGCAUGGAGCAAAGUACACAUGGUUACAACAAGUGUUUGAAGCAAGUUCUUGGAUUGGGCAACCAGAAACUCGAUAAUCUUCUGGGUUUGAAUCUUCACGCUUUGUUUUGCCUCAGAGAUUAUUUCUUGGUUUAAAAUGGGUUUAGAUCUGAAGCAGACAAAGUCCUAUACUUCAUUUUGGUGACAAAUAUGUUUGUGUGAGUCAUACUUACCUUAUUUAUGUAGAUAUUAUAUAAUAUGUAAUAUUCUGUAAUAUUUGUAGUAUUAUUAGUUUACUACUUGCCUUAGGAAUAAUACUUGUCUUAUUAGGCACGAUUGUAAUCUAUAUAUAAUUCCUUCUUGUGAGGUGAAUGAAACAUUGAGUUAUUCAGCCAAAAUUGUCUCUUGUUUUUCGUUAUAUUUGACUUGGUAUCAGAGCAGAGAUCCGAUCCUGGACUCUGAUUCAUUGUUCUUUGAUC
Molecule: long non-coding RNA, 2304 nt
Organism: Rosa rugosa (rugosa rose)
Lineage: Eukaryota; Viridiplantae; Streptophyta; Magnoliopsida; Rosales; Rosaceae
Exons: 2
Source: RefSeq, a predicted model, not a curated record